GCCAGAACGGGGGUGGGGUGGGGGCUCUGGAGGAGCCCAGAGAAGACAUUUUACUCUUUCUGUCCAGUGCUGCUCCCCCUUGCUGAGGGAAACCCGGGUUUCCUCUGGCAAAUCGCCCUUCGGCAUGUGGCCUGGUGGGAGGACUGACCCCACCACUCUCUGGCAGGGGGUGGCCCAUCCCCAGCCACGUGACCAGUCCAGGAGUGGGCGUGCCACCCUCUCUGAGCCAGUGAGAAAUGGGAGACGUGCUGGGGUUUCUCGUGGCUUCUGCAGGACGGUGAUGCGAGACCGUCUCUCGCCUGGGGUGCUGUGUGAGGAUGCCUGGUCUUGCAGGGUCGGCUGCCAGCUCGCUGCCACCAUGCGAGAGCCAGGGGCUUCCUGGAGGCAUCGAGAUGGGUGGAGCUUCAGGAUGAAGCAUGAUACGCCUGGGCAGGCAGGGUGGCGAGAAGGAGAGGGGCCGGCUCACGGCGGCCUGAUUUCCGUCACCAGGUCACGCCUCGCCUGCAGUCUCGUCCCUUUGGACUGUUUUGUCCACGAGUCGACAGUUGCCUUUCUGGUUUAAGCCCAUUUGGUCUGGAUUUUCCGUCACUUGCAGAAUGGCGAAUCCAAAUGGACGUGGGCACGGCUGCCUGUUCUGUGAUUUUUCCCUUCUUCAGUCAGUCCUCUUGGCCAGGGUCAAGGCCGACCCCACGGCUCGGCGGGCGCCGUGAGCCCAAUAGAACCUCCCUCUCUGGAGACUCUCCCGGAACCCCACCUGGAGCUCCGUGUGUGCUUGCCUGCUACAAACGCCUAACUAAAAAAAAAAAAA
Long non-coding RNA from Pteropus alecto (black flying fox), 808 nucleotides. RefSeq lists it as uncharacterized. The transcript has 2 exons. Lineage: Eukaryota; Metazoa; Chordata; Mammalia; Chiroptera; Pteropodidae. The record is from RefSeq and is a predicted model, not a curated record.